GACGAACGCUGGCGGCGUGCCUAAUACAUGCAAGUAGAACGCUGAAGGAGGAGCUUGCUUCUCUGGAUGAGUUGCGAACGGGUGAGUAACGCGUAGGUAACCUGCCUGGUAGCGGGGGAUAACUAUUGGAAACGAUAGCUAAUACCGCAUAAGAUUGACUAUUGCAUGAUAGUCAGUUAAAAGGUGCAAUUGCAUCACUACCAGAUGGACCUGCGUUGUAUUAGCUAGUUGGUGGGGUAACGGCUCACCAAGGCGACGAUACAUAGCCGACCUGAGAGGGUGAUCGGCCACACUGGGACUGAGACACGGCCCAGACUCCUACGGGAGGCAGCAGUAGGGAAGCUUCGGCAAUGGACGGAAGUCUGACCGAGCAACGCCGCGUGAGUGAAGAAGGUUUUCGGAUCGGAAAGCUCUGUUGUAAGAGAAGAACGAGUGUGAGAGUGGAAAGUUCACACUGUGACGGUAGCUUACCAGAAGGGGACGGCUAACUACGUG
RNAcentral lists this ribosomal RNA (495 nucleotides) under uncultured bacterium. RNAcentral's name for it is "partial 16S ribosomal RNA". It matches the Rfam family "Bacterial small subunit ribosomal RNA", at positions 28 to 507 of the family's 1533-position model. The record is from RNAcentral.